This 460-nucleotide ribosomal RNA is filed under the name uncultured soil bacterium. RNAcentral describes it as "bacterial SSU rRNA". It matches the Rfam family "Bacterial small subunit ribosomal RNA", at positions 58 to 510 of the family's 1533-position model. The record is from RNAcentral.
CAAGUCGAACGGUAACAGGCCCGCAAGGGUGCUGACGAGUGGCGGACGGGUGAGGAAUACAUCGGAAUCUGCCCGGUUGUGGGGGAUAACGUAGGGAAACUUACGCUAAUACCGCAUACGACCGAAAGGUGAAAGCGUGGGAUCCGCAAGGACCUCGCGCAGCCGGAUGAGCCGAUGUCGGAUUAGCUAGUUGGCGGGGUAAAGGCCCACCAAGGCGACGAUCCGUAGCUGGUCUGAGAGGAUGAUCANCCACACUGGGACUGAGACACGGCCCAGACUCCUACGGGAGGCAGCAGUGGGGAAUAUUGGACAAUGGGGGCAACCCUGAUCCAGCAAUGCCGCGUGUGUGAAGAAGGCCUUCGGGUUGUAAAGCACUUUUAUCCGGAACGAAACGUGUCAGGCGAAUAGCCUUGGCAAACUGACGGUACCGGAGGAAUAAGCACCGGCUAACUUCGUGCCA